UUUCUGCUGGAAGGGACAAACUGGGACUUGAUAUCCACUACAUAAAUGCCUUCAAAGGUCGGGGCAUUUUCACGACUGUUCCAUUCCAAAAAGGAGACUUUCUUUUGGAAUACAGAGGUAAACUCAUAACAAAAGAAGAAUGUGAGCGGAGACACAGAGUUUAUCAUGACAGCCUGAAGGUGUUCAUGUUUGAAUUCAAGUUUGAUGGAAAACUCUGGUGUGUGGAUGCAUCUCAAGAAGAUGGGUCAUUAGGCAGACUUGUCAACGACAACCACAUCAGUCCAAGUGCUAAGAUGAAAAUAUUAAAUAUCAAUGGAAAGCCCCAUCUAUGCUUAUUUGCAAGCAGAGACAUAAGUCCAGGCGAAGAAAUAGACUAUAAUUAUGGUGACUCGGAUUGGCUCUGGAGAUGCAAGACUGAGACCAGCCAGAUUCAGAAGACUGUGAGCUGCCUAAAGCCGCAACCAAACAGCUUUCCAAACAAUGAUCUGGACCUGAAACAUCCAGAGCCUGAAAGGGAUCUUGAUGAAGAAAUGCCUCAGCAAGGCUCAGAAGCCAUGCAUUCUUCUUCAGUGCAAGAUUUUGAAGAGACUGAGACCAGCCAGAUUCAGAAGACUGUGAGCUGCCUAAAGCCGCAACCAAACAGCUUUCCAAACAAUGAUCUGGACCUGAAACAUCCAGAGCCUGAAAGGUGUCACAAUCAUCGUCUGGUGUGCACAACAAUAUCAUCUUUGGACAAGUGCAUUCAGUGUGUGGGACUGGUUUCCUCCCUCAAGUGGCUUGGCUAUAAGUGCAAAGAUGAAAUUGCAUUAAGUGAUGCUGAAACAAAGGACAGUGAGAGUGAAUCAGAUGAUGAUGACACAUCACUCACAAUGUCGGCGUGUGGCACCAGUGAGCCUGUACAUGCAGUAGCUGAUUCCACAAACACAGCGCAGCCCCAAGACACUGUAGAUUGUGAUGAAGGACUACUCACAAUGCCUGCAGCAAGUGAGACUGCUGCUCCCUCUGAAGGUAAGGGGUGCAGUUGGUUCUCGAAGCUUAUUAUUGUUUCAUCACUUUGCAACAUAUGGCAAACUGCAGAGUGGUGGCAAAAAGUCACUUGGAUGAGUGACAAAAUGUUUCUCCCACUGAAAACGCUACGUCCAGAUUAACAGAAUCAACGUUUUGGGAUUUACUUACCUGGAUGAUUGAGCAUGCAUCAAGAGACUUUUAUUCAACUUUUUAUUCAGUCUUUUAUUCACAGCGGAACACUAAAUGUUGUCUCAUUUUAGAAAUUUGAUAAAUUUUCAAACAGAAUUUUAGCUCGUUUUGAUAUUGAUGGUAGCAACACAUUUCAGAAGUUAGUACAGGGUAGCAUCCAUUCUUUUAACAAGCAAAUGUUUUUUGUUUUUUUUUGUUUGGUUUUUUGUUUGUUUUAACUACUACUACUUUAUAUAUCUUCCAGAGAAAAAUGCUGCUCAAUCCCACAAUUCCCGAAGAGCUCCCAAAAACAUGUGGUCCAAGGCUGAGGUUGCUGCAGUGAUGAGGCAUUUGAAAGACCACAUAAACGAAGGGAAACUAGCCACCAAAAAUGAAUGCAGUCAUUGCAAAUUGGUAGAAGAUCCGGUGUUGGCAGGAAGAACAGUUCAAAACAUAAGAGAUUUUGUAAGAAACAGAGGAUUAACUGCAAAAAGGCAGAAAAAAAUGAACUAAAAUAACUGUUUAGAGAGCUGUGGUUUUACAUCUUGGUCAGAUUGCCAAUUGUUGUUAACACUGAUGUUCUGUUUAAAGAAAAAAAAGUUCUUGUUAAAUACAGAAGUAGUUUGUAUUUCAUAAUUUUUACAUUUAAUUUAUUUAGGGUUUUUUUUGACGGGUUAUAUUUAAAAUAAAAAAUUAUAAAUGCAUAUUUUCUC
Long non-coding RNA from Astatotilapia calliptera (eastern happy), 1889 nucleotides. The record is from Ensembl. NCBI's taxonomy places the organism in Eukaryota, Metazoa, Chordata, Actinopteri, Cichliformes, Cichlidae.